CAGUAGCCGCGGUAAUACGUAGGUGGCAAGCGUUGUCCGGAUUUAUUGGGCGUAAAGCGAGCGCAGGCGGUUCCUUAAGUCUGAUGUGAAAGCCCCCGGCUCAACCGGGGAGGGUCAUUGGAAACUGGGGAACUUGAGUGCAGAAGAGGAGAGUGGAAUUCCAUGUGUAGCGGUGAAAUGCGUAGAGAUGUGGAGGAACACCAGUGGCGAAGGCGACUCUCUGGUCUGUAACUGACGCUGAGGAGCGAAAGCGUGGGGAGCGAACAGGAUUAGAGACCCCUGUAGUCCCUGUCUCUUAUAC
RNAcentral lists this ribosomal RNA (301 nucleotides) under uncultured bacterium. RNAcentral describes it as "partial 16S ribosomal RNA". It matches the Rfam family "Bacterial small subunit ribosomal RNA", at positions 509 to 807 of the family's 1533-position model. The record is from RNAcentral.